GAGUUUGAUCCUGGCUCAGAGUGAACGCGGCGGCGUGCCUAAUACAUGCAAGUCGAACGGAGAUUAAAGUAAGCUUGCUUAUUUUAAUCUUAGUGGCGCACGGGUGAGUAAUGUAUAGCUAAUCUGCCCUACACUAGAGGACAACAGUUGGAAACGACUGCUAAUACUCUAUACUCCUUCUUUACAUAAGUUAAGUCGGGAAAGUUUUUCGGUGUAGGAUGAGGCUAUAUCGUAUCAGCUAGUUGGUGAGGUAAUGGCUCACCAAGGCUAUGACGCGUAACUGGUCUGAGAGGAUGAUCAGUCACACUGGAACUGAGACACGGUCCAGACUCCUACGGGAGGCAGCAGUAGGGAAUAUUGCUCAAUGGGGGAAACCCUGAAGCAGCAACGCCGCGUGGAGGAUGACACUUUUCGGAGCGUAAACUCCUUUUCUUGGGAAAGAAUUAUGACG
This 451-nucleotide ribosomal RNA is filed under the name Campylobacter sp. canine oral taxon 011. RNAcentral's name for it is "bacterial SSU rRNA". It matches the Rfam family "Bacterial small subunit ribosomal RNA", at positions 9 to 457 of the family's 1533-position model. The record is from RNAcentral. Lineage: Bacteria; Pseudomonadati; Campylobacterota; Epsilonproteobacteria; Campylobacterales; Campylobacteraceae.